UUGAUCUUAGUUCAGAUUUAGCAUUAAUUGAGUUUCAAAUGCAUGCAAGAAUGCGUUAUAUAAUAUAAAGCUUCAUCAGGGUGAGUACAAAUCAAGAACUUAAAAAUUAAAAGUAAAAAGUAUAUACUAAAAAGUGUAAAACUAAAUGCUUGAUUCAAGAUUACAAAUUGAGAAAGAAGUAAAUACCUUUCUACUGUACAAUCUUUAGCUAACUUUAACGAGUUUAAGCCACAUUGGAACUGAAACAAGGUCCAACUUAGAAAUUCUAAGCAGCAGCAUAAAGCUUUAUGCAAUGAGUUAAAAACUUGACAUAGAAAUUCAAUGUAUUGAAUGAAAGCUCUAGUGAUAUGUUUUGUAGCUUUAAAACAUAUAUUAGUAAAAAAAUUAAAUUGAAUUUUCUUAAAAGUUUUAGCCAAUUUUGUGCCAGCAGCUGCGGUAAUACAAAAAAAACAAAUGCUAAUCUAAUAUACUUGGUGUAAAGCACUAACAAAUUGAAAUAGUUAUAGCAUUAAUCAAAUUGAAUUUAAUAGUUCAAAUUAUAAAGCAUAUAUUAAUUUCUUGAGCUUAUAUAAGUAAUAAUAAUAGAAGCAACAGAGUAGCGAUGAAA
This 607-nucleotide ribosomal RNA is filed under the name Porphyridium aerugineum. RNAcentral describes it as "partial Bacterial small subunit ribosomal RNA". The stretch from base 1 to 462 matches the Rfam family "Bacterial small subunit ribosomal RNA", at positions 13 to 546 of the family's 1533-position model. Lineage: Eukaryota; Rhodophyta; Bangiophyceae; Porphyridiales; Porphyridiaceae. The record is from RNAcentral.